Molecule: long non-coding RNA, 309 nt
Filed under: Nicotiana benthamiana
Lineage: Eukaryota; Viridiplantae; Streptophyta; Magnoliopsida; Solanales; Solanaceae
Description: long non-coding RNA (NBEN_LNC038444)
Source: RNAcentral
GUGGAACACGACCGAUAAGAAGAGUACCUGGAGAAGUGGAGAGACGAGAUGGCGAGAGGAGGAAGACCGACGACUGCUGGAAGUAGACGACGACGAGCGGAGACGGAACGGAAAGGAUUGGUAGCUACUGGGUACUGGGCUACUGGCUGGCGGCUGCUGCUUUAAGGGUUAGGGUUUCAGACUUUCAGUUCUCUGUUCUCAGUCUCAACUUUCUGUCUUUCUCUAGAAUGAGGAAUAGGUAAGGUAAUUAGGAAUUAGAAUAUUAGAUAAUUAGUUUUGUGGUGGGGUGGACUGGAGACAGAGCACACA